CGGUCCUAAGGUAGCGAAAUUCCUUGUCGGGUAAGUUCCGACCUGCACGAAUGGCGUAACGACUUCCCCACUGUCUCGACCAGGAGCUCGGCGAAAUUGCAGUACGAGUAAAGAUGCUCGUUAAGCGCAGAAGGACGAAAAGACCCCGGGACCUUUACUAUACCUUGGUAUUGGCGUUAGGCGCGGAUUGUGUAGCAUAGGCGGGAGGCUUCGAAGCGUGGGCGCCAGCUCAUGUGGAGCCGCAAGGUGAAAUACCGCUCUGUUCUCGUUUGACGUCUAACCUCGACAAGUCAUCCUUGUCAGGGACAGUGCCUGGCGGGUAGUUCAACUGGGGCGGUUGCCUCCCAAAGAGUAACGGAGGCGCUCAAAGGUCCGCUCAGCCCGGUUGGCAAUCGGGUGUCGAGUGUAAUCGCACAAGCGGGCUUGACUGCGAGGACGACGGUCCGAGCAGGGACGAAAGUCGGAGAUAGUGAUCCGGUGCCGGCGCACGGGCGCGGCAUCGCUCAACGGAUAAAAGGUACCCCGGGGAUAACAGGCUGAUCAUUCCCAAGAGUCCAUAUCGACGGGAUGGUUUGGCACCUCGAUGUCGGCUCGUCGCAUCCUGGGGCUGGAGCAGGUCCCAAGGGUUCGGCUGUUCGCCGAUUAAAGCGGCACGCGAGCUGGGUUCAGAACGUCGUGAGACAGUUUGGUCUCUAUCCUCUGCGCUCGUUGGAAUCCUGAGGAGGCCUGCCCAUAGUACGAGAGGACCUGGGUGGACGAACCUCUGGUAUGCCGGUUGUCGCGCCAGCGGCACGGCCGGUUGGCUACGUUCGGGAGGGAUAACCGCUGAAAGCAUCUAAGCGGGAAGCCUGCUCCAAGAUUAGGAUUCCGUACGGUCUUGAACCGUUGUAGCCCGCAUGUUGAACACGUGUUUGAUAGGCCGGAGGUGGAAGCCCCGUGAGGGGUGGAGCCGACCGGUACUAACGGGCGACGGCGACACAAC
This 982-nucleotide ribosomal RNA is filed under the name human gut metagenome. RNAcentral describes it as "bacterial LSU rRNA". It matches the Rfam family "Bacterial large subunit ribosomal RNA", at positions 1946 to 2925 of the family's 2925-position model. The record is from RNAcentral.